AUAGUCUUUCGCCCCAUGCGCAGAUUUGACGAUCGAUUUGCACGUCAGAACCGCUGCGAGCCUCCACCAGAGUUUCCUCUGGCUUCACCCUAUCCACGCAUAGUUCACCAUCUUUCGGGUCCGAACAGUUAUGCUCUUACUCAAAUCCAUCCGAAGACAUCAGGAUCGGUCGAUGAUGCACCCGUAAGGGCUCUCACCUCCGUUCACUUUCAUUACGCUUGAGGGUUUAACACCCAAAAACUCGCAUAAAUGUUCGACUCCUUGGUCCGUGUUUCAAGACGGGUGGCUGAUGACCAUUAUGCCAGCAUCCUAGCCGAAGCGCGGUCCUCAGUCCCAGCGGCGGUAUUACACAGCAGGCUAUAACACUCCCGGGGGAGUCACGUUCCUGAAGUCUUUAUCCCGCCGCCGAAACUGAUGCUGGCCUCAACCAAGCGGAGUGCACCGGUGAGAACACCGGAUGAUCCGCAAGGCAAAGGUCUGGUCACAAGCCCUUCCCUUUCAACAAUUUCACGUACUAUUUAACCCUCUUUUCAAAGUGCUUUUCAUCUUUCGAUCACUCUACUUGUGCGCUAUCGGUCUCUGGCCGGUAUUUAGCUUUAGAAGAAAUUUACCUCCCAUUUAGAGCAGCAUUCCCAAACUACUCGACUCGUCGAAGGAGAUUUACAGAGGCUCGGCAUCCAACCGUACGGGGCUCUCACCCUCUAAGGCGUCCUGUUCCAAGGAACUCGGAAGGUACCUAACCAAAAUCAUCCUCUACAAAUUACAACUCGGACCCGAAAGCCAGAUUUCAAAUUUGAGCUGUUGCCGCUUCACUCGCCGUUACUAGGGCAU
This 831-nucleotide ribosomal RNA is filed under the name Microdochium albescens. RNAcentral describes it as "partial 28S ribosomal RNA". Lineage: Eukaryota; Fungi; Ascomycota; Sordariomycetes; Xylariales; Microdochiaceae. The record is from RNAcentral.